Molecule: long non-coding RNA, 535 nt
Organism: Oncorhynchus tshawytscha (Chinook salmon)
Lineage: Eukaryota; Metazoa; Chordata; Actinopteri; Salmoniformes; Salmonidae
Source: Ensembl
AUUUAAAGUCACCCCUAUUUAAAAAGCUUGUCAUUUCAGCCCUGUACUGUAACCAAUAGAUAUGCACACCAUCCCCCGGACCACCCCUUCUUGAGAAGGACGUGGCAACCCUGUCGUCGCCAGACUGUAUGGGGGGCAGUCAACUUCUUCCAUAUCCCUCUCUUAUGCCCCAAGCGAGUGGAGUGGUUACUUUUCAAUUCUCCAAUGCUUUGGUGCACUGAUGAUUUUCUUAGUGCCAUUGGCUUCACAUCCUGACAACCUUGAAAAAGUGCCUCACGUCCAUCAUAGUUUCCAUCUAAAACUUAACAGCUCUUGUUCUGGUUAUAUUGGUUUAUAUAUGUCUCGGUAUUUCUACCAUGGUUUGAAAAUUCUAAGUAUAUGAUGUAAAAUAUAUAGUUCAAUAACUCAUGUCAUAGUUGUAUUUUCUUUAUACAGAUGUAACUUGUUACUUUUCAUAAAUAUAUCAUGUAAAUAUGCAUACACUUGUAAUUUGUCAUAUCAAAUAACAUUAUCAUAAUAAAAUGGUGAGUUUUAA